Molecule: ribosomal RNA, 467 nt
Filed under: uncultured bacterium
Lineage: Bacteria
Description: partial 16S ribosomal RNA
Rfam family: Bacterial small subunit ribosomal RNA
Source: RNAcentral
GAUGAACGCUGACAGAAUGCUUAACACAUGCAAGUCAACUUGAAUUUGGGUUUUUAACUUAGGUUUGGGUGGCGGACGGGUGAGUAACGCGUAAAGAACUUGCCUCACAGCUAGGGACAACAUUUGGAAACGAAUGCUAAUACCUAAUAUUAUGAUAAUAGGGCAUCCUAUAAUUAUGAAAGCUAUAAGCGCUGUGAGAGAGCUUUGCGUCCCAUUAGCUAGUUGGAGAGGUAACGGCUCACCAAGGCGAUGAUGGGUAGCCGGCCUGAGAGGGUGAUCGGCCACAAGGGGACUGAGACACGGCCCUUACGCCUACGGGAGGCAGCAGUGGGGAAUAUUGGACAAUGGACCGAGAGUCUGAUCCAGCAAUUCUGUGUGCACGAUGAAGUUUUUCGGAAUGUAAAGUGCUUUCAGUUGGGAAGAAACAAAUGACGGUACCAACAGAAGAAGUGACGGCUAAAUACGUG